This 1200-nucleotide long non-coding RNA is filed under the name Betta splendens (Siamese fighting fish). Its description in RNAcentral is "lncRNA (ENSBSLG00000016541.1)". Lineage: Eukaryota; Metazoa; Chordata; Actinopteri; Anabantiformes; Osphronemidae. The record is from RNAcentral.
CUUUCUAUAUUAACAAAGGCCACGCUGUUUUCUUAACCAUUAAACAAGUGCUUUUACUGCCAAAAUAAAAGCCCAAACAAGUUUAGCACUGCCGUAGUCGCUACAGCAGUAAAUAGCUUACUGAGAAAAUAUCCUCAUAUGACUAGUGUAGUCAGACAGUAUAUCCCCUUCCUGGUCCAGUCCACUGAAGGACUCUGGUUCCAGUAUGAGCAAACCCUUUGAAGGCCAUGAAUUACUGCCAGACAAAAAUGUCCGCGAUAAGCGUGCCUGCAACAUUUAACACCUGCAUUAUGUGCUUCAGCCUGGCCCAUGCCUGCGGAGCAUACAUGAGAUGAGUUCAAUGGAACUGACUGCUUGAGAUCCUAAUGCUAAGACGUAACAUUAUUAUAAAGACCAAGGUACAGUAAAUGACAGUAUUUCAGCCCCAUAAAAGUGUUCCAUUAAAGUGUUUCCUCCGGCUAAAACCACCCGAGCACCACGGCAAGAAAAUCAACAUACAAAUGAGUUUCUCCGGGUAAAUGUUUGGCAAGAACUCACCAUAACAACUUACUGCCACUAUCAGUAACUCUGAUUUAAGUUAGUGGUACGUUAAGCCCGACGCCACCCCAAGCCGAAGGAGGCCGGAGAUAAAGGCGAAGGGUGUGUGGGAGCGCAGAGAAGAAAAAGCAAGGCUUCGCCGAGGCAAAGUGCCAAGGCUCCGGCGCAGACCUUCCUCCGCCGAAAAAGUGGGAAAUCUGCGAAAGUGGAAACUCAAGGUUGCAAACAAACAGCGCGAGGAUUCCCAGUAUGAGCCCCAGGGGAGGCAUUAGCCGAGCGCUGACGAGGUUUGUAAAAUAGAAGCAAGCACAUGAAAUGUCAGUCGUUCAAAAGGAAACCCGGCUCUAAAUGAAUUAUUGUUUAUAGAGCGUUUUUAAAAUUAAGAUCUUCGCUUCAGGCGUCUGAAUAAGCGCCGGGACUCCUGUGGUUUCUGCUGCCGGGCGCUUCUUGUCCUCCUCUCCGCUCCUCGGAGGCCGGGUUGAAAAGGCUCCACCGCCGGUCCGACGCGGGCCGCGCCGCCGAGACGGACGUCCCAGAAAAGACCAAGACACAGUUCGAUCGGCGUCUCCCUCGACUGCGACAGUGACUGUGAAGCGCCUGGAACAGGAGACGCCUGCACAGCACUGUCAAAAUUCACCAGUUGGUCCUCGACGAGGCUGGAAG